This 460-nucleotide ribosomal RNA is filed under the name uncultured bacterium. RNAcentral describes it as "partial 16S ribosomal RNA". It matches the Rfam family "Bacterial small subunit ribosomal RNA", at positions 338 to 795 of the family's 1533-position model. The record is from RNAcentral.
CCUACGGGAGGCAGCAGUGAGGAAUAUUGGUCAAUGGACGAGAGUCUGAACCAGCCAAGUAGCGUGAAGGAUGACUGCCCUAUGGGUUGUAAACUUCUUUUAUAUGGGAAUAAAAUGUUCCACGUGUGGGAUUUUGUAUGUACCAUAUGAAUAAGGAUCGGCUAACUCCGUGCCAGCAGCCGCGGUAAUACGGAGGAUCCGAGCGUUAUCCGGAUUUAUUGGGUUUAAAGGGAGCGUAGGUGGAUUGUUAAGUCAGUUGUGAAAGUUUGCGGCUCAACCGUAAAAUUGCAGUUGAAACUGGCAGUCUUGAGUACAGUAGAGGUGGGCGGAAUUCGUGGUGUAGCGGUGAAAUGCUUAGAUAUCACGAAGAACGCCGAUUGCGAAGGCAGUUCACUGGACUGCAACUGACACUGAGGCUCGAAAGUGUGGGUAUCAAACAGGAUUAGAUACCCCAGUAGUC